Molecule: ribosomal RNA, 476 nt
Filed under: uncultured bacterium
Lineage: Bacteria
Description: bacterial SSU rRNA
Rfam family: Bacterial small subunit ribosomal RNA
Source: RNAcentral
UGGCGGCAUGCCUUACACAUGCAAGUCGAACGGCAGCGCGGGAGCAAUCCUGGUGGCGAAGUGGCGAACGGGUGAGUAAUAUAUCGGAACGUGCCCAGUCGUGGGGGAUAACGUAGCGAAAGCUACGCUAAUACCGCAUACGAUCUAUGGAUGAAAGCGGGGGAUCGCAAGACCUCGCGCGAUUGGAGCGGCCGAUAUCAGAUUAGGUAGUUGGUGAGGUAAAGGCUCACCAAGCCGACGAUCUGUAGCUGGUCUGAGAGGACGACCAGCCACACUGGGACUGAGACACGGCCCAGACUCCUACGGGAGGCAGCAGUGGGGAAUUUUGGACAAUGGGCGCAAGCCUGAUCCAGCAAUGCCGCGUGCAGGAUGAAGGCCUUCGGGUUGUAAACUGCUUUUGUACGGAACGAAACGGUGAGCUCUAAUACAGUUUGCUAAUGACGGUACCGUAAGAAUAAGCACCGGCUAACUACGUG